UGCCCCAUGGCUGAGUUGGUUACAGCGUCCGACUGUUAACUGAUUACGUAAUCAUCCGCAAUCGGAAGGUCGUGAGUUCGAGCCUCACUGGGGCAG
This is a non-coding RNA of Cerrena zonata, 96 nucleotides long. NCBI's taxonomy places the organism in Eukaryota, Fungi, Basidiomycota, Agaricomycetes, Polyporales, Cerrenaceae. The record is from the annotation of a GenBank genome assembly.